GCACCGGUGGUGGAAUUGGUAGACACGCCAUCUUGAGGGGGUGGUGUCUUUAAAGACGUGUGGGUUCAAAUCCCACUCGGUGCA
This 84-nucleotide transfer RNA is filed under the name Allofrancisella inopinata. RNAcentral describes it as "tRNA-Leu". It matches the Rfam family "tRNA". From Rfam's summary of the family: Transfer RNA (tRNA) molecules are approximately 80 nucleotides in length. Their secondary structure includes four short double-helical elements and three loops (D, anti-codon, and T loops). Further hydrogen bonds mediate the characteristic L-shaped molecular structure. tRNAs have two regions of fundamental functional importance: the anti-codon, which is responsible for specific mRNA codon recognition, and the 3' end, to which the tRNAs corresponding amino acid is attached (by aminoacyl-tRNA synthetases). tRNAs cope with the degeneracy of the genetic code in two manners: having more than one tRNA (with a specific anti-codon) for a particular amino acid; and 'wobble' base-pairing, i.e. permitting non-standard base-pairing at the 3rd anti-codon position. The record is from RNAcentral. Lineage: Bacteria; Pseudomonadati; Pseudomonadota; Gammaproteobacteria; Thiotrichales; Francisellaceae.